This 2652-nucleotide long non-coding RNA is filed under the name Gallus gallus (chicken). RNAcentral describes it as "long non-coding RNA NONGGAT000965". Lineage: Eukaryota; Metazoa; Chordata; Aves; Galliformes; Phasianidae. The record is from RNAcentral.
CUUUUCUGCAAUAGUUUAGAGACACAAUCAAGUAAGUAGUCACUGGUGUCUGUGGGAACGGAAGAAGUACAAGUGUAGUUUUGUCCUUAUUUUCUCUGUUACGCUCAGAUCAGACAUGGAGAGGAAUGAUCCCAUGAACUUCACACAGCUUUUAUCUCCAUCCCCAUGCUGAGUGCUUCCCUAGGGCAUCGCUCUAAGAGCUGCUUGCAGCUCAGGCCCACAGCAGAUACUUCUUGAGCUGGAGUCAGGGCCCGGGGACUGGUGACCUGAGUGCUGCACAAGGCUGCCACUGAAAGGGCAGAAAAGGGGAGCGAAAGUAUGGGCGAACAGUGGAAAGAACAAAAGUACUAGUUAGUUUUAGCUCUGUAGGCUCCUGACACGUCUGUUGGCUGGCCUCAAAAAAGCUGUGCUCAGCCCAGCCUCGCAGCAAUUGCUGCUGCUGCUGGCUAGUACCCAGACCAGAGCCUGGUGAAACAUCCAGUCUCUCACUUCCAGCCUCAGGCCCAUGCUUCAGUUAAAUGUCCCCACUGCACCAGUGAGUCUCUCAGUCUGCCACGUGCCUCUUGUGGCUGUGGAGGAUUUGCCCUGGUCACAUUGCGUGUAUGGGAUGGGUCAGAUCUUUCCUAGCAUUUUAAGGUGUCUUGCCAGUGUUCUCCCCUCUGCUGCAGACAGGUGUGAACACCUGACAAGAUUUGACCUUUGAAGGUGGUGCUUGUGCAACAUAAUGCAGCUGCCAAAAGUGUUCACGUUAAGCAGCCAUGGCCUCAGCUAUCUGAGGAAUGCCCAAUGUUGCUAGCGCUCCUUAUUAAGGGAGAGCUAUAUUUUGAAAUAGCUAAUACUGAGAGGCAGCACUGCCCGUAUGCUGCAGGUUUAGCGUUGGCAGAACCCCGUCCGUUUCAAAACAAGAGGAAGGAAGAUGGCAGUUCUCGGAACAUGGAAAAGUUCAGGCUCAGGCAGGGUCAAAGUAACAGAAGAUGAAGGAAGAUGAAACUAGGCAGACUUUAGCAGCAGGAAAAAAAAAAAAGAAGAAGAAGAAGGAAAAAAAACAACAAAAACCCAUCGAGAGGCACAUGAGUAAAUCUUGGAUGCUGUGCAUUCUCAUUUUGAACUGGUUUGAACUGGUGUUGGUUGCUUCUGUGCAGAUAUGGAACGUGGUUAAAGUUUUAUAAUGGAAAAUCUGACAGGCAGUUAACUAAUCCAUGAGUCAUAUUUCGUAAGUGCCUAAAGGUCUCUGAUGUUCGACCUUCAUUUGAUACCCUUGCCAUCAUGGAGUUAUACAUAACCCAUCUGAAGAACAUUCUUUAUAUAGAUGACUGCAUGCUGCCCUUUUAUACCUGCAAGAAUGAGCGCUGCACUUACUGAAACAGGGAAGUCUACUGCCUGCCUUUCCACCCCUCUCUCUCUGUGGCUGUUUACAGAACUGCAGAGUGCUUUUCAGGCUGUCAACUUCCCCUUAUCCUCCUUGUUUCCUGAUUCCCUGAGCUUGUGUAGAAACUGAUGCUGCGGCAGGGCAAGGUAAAGAACUGAAAAAUAAGUGAAGAAUUGUGACAGAAGAACAGGCGUUGCCCCAGGGACUCAUAUACUAAAACAUCUUGAAAAAAUCUUCUGAAAAACAGACCAGUUGUGAGUUGACAACCAGUCUGGCGUCCCUAGGGCAGACCAUGCAUUACAGCAGAACUCAGAGAGGCGUAAUUAUAGAGGACAGGUAGAAAGUUAGCUCCUCGAAUGGGAAUUUCUUUGCACUGGAAUACUUACCUAUUUUGAUGUCUGAUGUUUAAUUAGCACUGUUCCUCUACAAAUACAUUUCUGCCAUGCGGAAACUUUUAACUUGCUUUUAAAAGUUUUGUUCUGAAAAUGGUUCAUGUAAGGUAUUUGAACCUGCUUUGUCUAGUAGUAUUAAUAACCUGGGGCAGACAGUGUUUAUAUGGUACCAAGCACCAUGAUGGCACUUAGUAAAUAAUGAAAUAAAUCACAGGCUUUGUUUCUGUUUAAACACUGUGCUUGACCUCUGUGGAUAUCUUCUGGAUCCUGCUCAACAGCCUCAUUUGGGUGCAACUGGAUAUUGUGCCAAUUUUAUUCCAGCUCCAUUAACGUAUGGCAACAAUACAGACAGUACAUCGCCUGACAAAGAACUCAUAGUCCUCCUCUGGAUUUAUGUAGCAAGAUUUUGGCAGUGGGGUGGCCUGCAAGAAGCCAGCAGCUGCCCCGUGUCAGAUCACAGCCCUUGUAGGAGCAGCCCAGGCCUGAGCUGCAGCCCAUGGAGAGCAGCCUGCAGAGGGGCAGGAGGGCUGAGGGAGCUGCCGCCUGUGGGGAACCGUGUGGAGCAGUGCCUGAAGGGUGGGCUCCAUGGUGCGGAGCUGUGUUGGAACAGUGCUGGGAGAGCUGCAGCAUGUGGAAAGCCCAUGUGGGAUCAGACCAGGAAGGAUGCCAUCCCAUGGGACGGACCCACACAGAACAGAAGCAGAGAGUGAUCAUGGAAGAGCAGAAGACAUGAAGCUUUAUGGACUGACCGCAGCCCCCUUUCCCUAUUCCCCUGUGCUCGUUGAGGGAAGGAGGUAGGAGUUGAGCCUGAGAAAAGGUGGGUGGAGGAGAGGUGUUGUCAGUCUGUUUUUAUUUCUCAUUGCCCUAUUACUAAUAGGCCAUAAAUAAAAU